Molecule: small nucleolar RNA, 444 nt
Filed under: Phascolarctos cinereus (koala)
Lineage: Eukaryota; Metazoa; Chordata; Mammalia; Diprotodontia; Phascolarctidae
Description: Small Cajal body-specific RNA 2 (ENSPCIG00000024876.2)
Rfam family: Small Cajal body-specific RNA 2
Source: RNAcentral
AGGUAGUGGUAAGGUUUGUGCACGCGCGGCGUUUGAUGUGCGUGAGGUGGCCGAGUUUAGCAUGGAAGGACGCGUGGAAGGGGAGUGAAUGUGUGUGCGUGCAAGGCCGAGUGCGUGCGUGCAAGGAGAGUGCGUGCCCGCGUGCCGAGCCGGCCCUUCCUGAGCCCUUCCCCCCCUACACUCUGAUCUUAUUUGAUCGGGCCGGGUUCCCGCCUCGCCGGCCCGACCCGAGAUGAGAAGCUCCCCUCCCGCGAAGCCCCAGCCAGCUGUGGCCGGGGCGCUGUGCGGCGAGGCCUAUGCGAACAGGCGGCGGCCGCUCCCGGGCUCCCCGAGCCAGCCCCUCCGCGGGCCGGGCCGGGCCGGGCGCUCAGAAGUGAUGAGUUGAUCAGAUAGAUGAGGCUGGGCUCGCCCCUGCCCUUGAGUAUCGAGGCGAUUCUGAUCUGA